RNAcentral lists this ribosomal RNA (301 nucleotides) under uncultured bacterium. RNAcentral's name for it is "partial 16S ribosomal RNA". It matches the Rfam family "Bacterial small subunit ribosomal RNA", at positions 509 to 807 of the family's 1533-position model. The record is from RNAcentral.
CAGUCGCCGCGGUAACACAGAGGAUGCAAACGUUAUCCAGAAUGAUUGGGCGUAAAGCGUCUGUAGGUGGCUUUUCAAGUCCGCCGUCAAAUCCCAGGGCUCAACCCUGGACAGGCGGUGGAAACUACCAAGCUGGAGUACGGUAGGAGCAGAGGGAAUUUCCGGUGGAGCGGUGAAAUGCGUUGAGAUCGGAGAGAACACCAACGGCGAAAGCACUCUGUUGGGCCAACACUGACACUGAGAGACGAAAGCUAGGGGAGAAAAUGGGAUUAGAUACCCCUGUAGUCCCUGUCUCUUAUAC